AUAUCACUAAGCGGAGGAAAAGAAACUAACCAGGAUUCCCCUAGUAACGGCGAGUGAAGAGGGAAAAGCCCAGCACCGAAGCCUGUGGCAAUUUUGCUGCUAGGCAAUGUGGUGUUUAGGUCGGCUCGUGGGAUCGCCACUCCACUCGAAGUCCAGCAUUGAGUAUGGUUCCCAGGAAUUGGCCCAUAGAGGGUGAAAGGCCCGUACGAGUGGAUGUGUCAGAUAUGUAAGGCGAUUCACCAGGCCGGCCUUAGAGUCGGGUUGUUUGCGAAUGCAGCCCAAAGUGGGUGGUAAACUCCAUCCAAGGCUAAAUACUAGCACGAGUCCGAUAGCGAACAAGUACCGUGAGGGAAAGUUGAAAAGUACUUUGAAGAGAGAGUAAACAGUACGUGAAACCGCAUAGAGGUAAACGGGUGGCGUCAAGCUGCAAGCCCAGAGAAUUCAGUCGGUCAGGGUGUUGUCAUGCGCCCAGCGCAUCUAUCAGUCGGUGUAGGAUUUGGCUAGUCCGCUUGAAGAUGGCGGGCCCAGCUAGCAAUAGCUGGGAUUUGCGUACCGGGCGGUAGCCGGAGCAUGCUAGCCGUCUGUAGGACUGCCUGGCCGAUGCACUUUCUCUGUUGGUGAACACCACGACCGGUGGUACUGCCAGUCUGCUGUAGCCAGCUUCGUUGCAUACUCUGGCCUUUUGGUUGGGGCGUGUGGCGAUCACAGACAAUUUCAGUGCACGGUGCUUGUGUGUUUUUCGCAUGCGGGCAUGUUAUCGGGAACUGGUUGUAAACGGGUCGGCCUGUCGACUUGUCUGUAGUCGUGGUUGAUGGGUGACCCGGUGGGCUAUGGUGGUAUGAAUAACUGUGCAGGGCACCGGAGUUUUCGGUCCGACCAGCAGUAGUCGUUCGCGGCUGCUGUUGCCGGCUGCAUACGCACUGCAGUUUAGCGUGUGCACUGUCUUUGGCAGUAGUACGGGCGGCGCUGUUUACGGCCUGCCAKUCGUUGGGUCUGAUUGUCGUGUCGCCUGCCAAAAUGGUGGGUCCGGCGGUGGCCUGGCGUUGGAUGGUGCCUGUAGACGGAGCUGUCGUUGUGCAGCCGGUAUUUGUGUGCGCGACCUUAUAGUCUGUGGUGUAGUGGUAGACGAGCUACCCGACCCGUCUUGAAACACGGACCAAGGAGUUUAACAUGCGCGCGAGUCAUUGGGUCCUACGAAACCCAGAGGCGCAGUGAAAGUAAAGCUUCGACAUAUAUUGUUCUCGGGGUGUGGUGAGAUCCUGCUGUUUCUCGCAUACAUUUGUCCAGCACUGGGCUAACUAAACGAGCAGUGGGCGCAUCACCGGCCCGUCCCAUGAUGUGGCUAUCUGUCAGUGGCAGUUGUCGCCUUACGGUGGUGGUUGCUUUCUGCGGGUACGUCAUCGGGGCGGAGCAUGAGCGCGCAUGUUGAGACCCGAAAGAUGGUGAACUAUGCUUGCGUAGGUUGAAGCCAGAGGAAACUCUGGUGGAGGACCGCAGCGAUUCUGACGUGCAAAUCGAUCGUCAAACGUGAGUAUAGGGGCGAAAGACUAAUCGAACCAUCUAGUAGCUGGUUCCCUC
This 1578-nucleotide ribosomal RNA is filed under the name Caryophyllaeus laticeps. Its description in RNAcentral is "LSU rRNA". It matches the Rfam family "Eukaryotic large subunit ribosomal RNA", at positions 40 to 961 of the family's 3401-position model. The record is from RNAcentral. Lineage: Eukaryota; Metazoa; Platyhelminthes; Cestoda; Caryophyllidea; Caryophyllaeidae.